CUCGCACAGGCGAAAAUCAACAAAGAGCCAUUCUCGGGCAUUUCCAACUGCACCUAAGCCAAGGCACUGAGCUGUGGAGCCAUCCGGCCUGGGGAGGGGAGCCACGCAGACACUGCUCACUGCUCUUGGGUGUGCGGCCAGGCACAGUAAACAUCCAGAUCCCAUUCUUUAGUUCAGUGCUGUGCCAAAAUAAGAAGGAACAUUGUGUUGUUAAAAAGACAAGGACCCAAGAUGUGCACACCCGAAGCUGACAGUCAGAAGUCAUGGUUUUUGUGAGCAGCUGAGGGCUGAGGCCCUGU
RNAcentral lists this long non-coding RNA (299 nucleotides) under Zonotrichia albicollis (white-throated sparrow). RNAcentral describes it as "lncRNA (ENSZALG00000010150.1)". The record is from RNAcentral. Lineage: Eukaryota; Metazoa; Chordata; Aves; Passeriformes; Passerellidae.